GGUCCAGACUUUGAUCAUGGCUCACCGAUGAACGCUGGCGGCGUGCCUAAUACAUGCAAGUAGAACGCUGAAGCUUGGUGCUUGCACCGAGCGGAUGAGUUGCGAACGGGUGAGUAACGCGUAGGUAACCUGCCUCUUAGCGGGGGAUAACUAUUGGAAACGAUAGCUAAUACCGCAUAAAAGUCGACAUUGCAUGAUGUUGACUUGAAAGGUGCAACUGCAUCACUAAGAGAUGGACCUGCGUUGUAUUAGCUAGUUGGUGAGGUAACGGCUCACCAAGGCGACGAUACAUAGCCGACCUGAGAGGGUGAUCGGCCACACUGGGACUGAGACACGGCCCAGACUCCUACGGGAGGCAGCAGUAGGGAAUCUUCGGCAAUGGACGGAAGUCUGACCGAGCAACGCCGCGUGAGUGAAGAAGGUUUUCGGAUCAUAAAGCUCUGUUGUAAGAGAAGAACGAGUGUGAGAGUGGAAAGUUCACACUGUGACGGUAACUUACCAGAAAGGGACGGCUAACUACGUGCCAGCAGCCGCGGUAACACGUAGGUCCCGAGCGUUAUCCGGAUUUAUUGGGCGUAAAGCGAGCGCAGGCGGUUAGAUAAGUCUGAAGUUAAAGGCUGUGGCUUAACCAUAGUACGCUUUGGAAACUGUUUAACUUGAGUGCAGAAGGGGAGAGUGGAAUUCCAUGUGUAGCGGUGAAAUGCGUAGAUAUAUGGAGGAACACCGGUGGCGAAAGCGGCUCUCUGGUCCGUAACUGACGCUGAGGCUCGAAAGCGUGGGGAGCAAACAGGAUCAGAUACCCUGGUAGUCCACGCCGUAAACGAUGAGUGCUAGGUGUUGGGUCCUUUCCGGGACUCAGUGCCGCAGCUAACGCAUUAAGCACUCCGCCUGGGGAGUACGACCGCAAGGUUGCAACUCAAAUGAAUUGACGG
RNAcentral lists this ribosomal RNA (932 nucleotides) under uncultured Bacillota bacterium. RNAcentral describes it as "bacterial SSU rRNA". It matches the Rfam family "Bacterial small subunit ribosomal RNA", at positions 1 to 916 of the family's 1533-position model. Lineage: Bacteria; Bacillati; Bacillota. The record is from RNAcentral.